RNAcentral lists this long non-coding RNA (612 nucleotides) under Brassica napus (rape). Its description in RNAcentral is "long non-coding RNA (BNAP_LNC024228)". Lineage: Eukaryota; Viridiplantae; Streptophyta; Magnoliopsida; Brassicales; Brassicaceae. The record is from RNAcentral.
GAAAUUACUAUUAAAAGAAAAACAUACACAAAAAUUUAUAUAGAUAUGUCAAGAUUAUUAUAAUACAAUUUUCAAAAAAAAAAGAUUAUUAUAAUACAUUAUACAUCGAACAAGAGUCUGUUAAACAAUAUCAGAAAGAAUAAACUAAACGAAGAAGAAAAUCCCAGAAGCAGAGGAAAACAAAUGAAUAGAUUCAUCAAAUCUUGUAGUGUUAUUUCCGCACCGGCCUUAUUAACAGAGUCUCGAUCUUGUAAACCGGCCAUCUUGGGAGGUUGACGAUCUGUUCCAAUCGGAUUACAUCAACACUAUUAUCGUCACUCUGCAAAUUCUGCACAGAGAAAAAGGUCUUCCAACAUCGAUAGGCUGGGUAAUUGAUCAUCUCUCAUAAAGGCGCACACCCAUGAUUAGAAGAUGCAUCUACAAGUGCCAAAAAAAAUUGAGAUUCAAUACAACAAGCAGUUUAAAUAACUGAUUGAAAUAUACACCUCCUACAGAAGAUUAACCAUACGUAAUGCAACUGAAAUUAGUGAUUGUGAAAAUUUAGAAACCAAAAAAGAGACGGCUUAGGUUUUUAGGUAAACUUGUGAAUGAGGGAGAGAGUAAGUUUUUAAC